GGAAGAGGUGAAGGAAAGGGCACAUGAAAUAAUAAAAUUCUUAUUGUUAGAUAUAUCUACUAAUAACAAAAUAAACAGACGCAUGUAAGGUUGAACAUGGAAGAAAAUGAUAGAAACCUCUAUAUUACUGAUACGUAAAUAUAAUGGGAAUGAUAGGAAAUAGAAUGAUUUACAUUCCUAACUUUUCCCACGUUUACUUGCAAUUAAGAAUGAAAAAAAUAUGUGGGCCCCACCUCAAAAUCUAUAAUCACAUUUUCGCAAAACCAAGAAUCAUAUCAACUAGGGGGAGUAGUUGAUCUGAUUCCCAUUCUUUUUUUCCUUGCUACCUUCCAAAAAUACUCUUACCACUUUACGAUAAUUCUAAAAGAGAUCAACUUGUUUGCUAUUGAACUCCAAAUUAUUUUUAAGAUCUAAAAAAAAUUGAAAUUAAAAUCAGAAAAUCAUAAACUUUAAUCCCCAAAUUGAAAUUAACAAAAGAAAAGGAAAAAGAUGUGAGGCAUAAACCCUAUCAAUUUUGGUGGGGAGAGAGAAAGAGAGAGUGAAUGAUGACAAAGGGAGGAGAGAGAGAGCGAUGACAGAAGGAGGAGAGAUAGAGAGAGAGAGAGUGAUGACGGAGAGACGAUAAAGGGAGGAAGAGAGCAACGACAGAGGGAGGAGAGAGAAAGAGAGAAGGCGACAGAAAGGGAGAGAGAGAGAGAAUGUAAAACCUCACUUUUUUUUAUUUUUAAUAAUAGGGGUGUUUUUGAAUUUUUUUUGGGUUUGGAUUUUAAAAAUGGGCCUACUAAACAAGUUUUUGAGUUUAUAAAAUUGGAUCUAAGUAAGAUGGGAGCAUUUUUGCUCACCACUUUAACUCAAGGUGUAUCCUCACCACCCUUCCCAAAAGGUGACACAUGUCUAUGGAUUUAACUAUAGUUAACUCUUUAUUUUUUAUUUGUUUGAUGACAUUAUUAUGAGAGAGAAACGAUGAUUUAAUAAGAUUUUUCCUAAUUUAGCCUUAUUCUAUUAAUUAACUCAACAAACUUUCCACUUUUAUAUUAAUUACCAAUUAAGCUAAUAACAACCCGAAUAAUUAACAACAGCAGAACAGUCAUUACUUAAAGAAAUAAAAAUUAACAGUCUUCCACUUCCCAUGAAUCUGUUGGCAUCUCAAUCUUAACGAAGGACAUGAAUUGUUAAAUUCGAAUUUGGCCUUGAUACUCAGAAAACUAAAUAAAACAAAGCAAAUUUAUAAUGAAAAAAAAAAAAACAAUACAUAGUACUAAAAAAAACAAGUAACAAUAUAGACAAUACCUAUCUUUUGCUUGAACAAAGGAAAGAAGUCUAUUGAGCAAAGUU
Molecule: long non-coding RNA, 1335 nt
Filed under: Prunus persica (peach)
Lineage: Eukaryota; Viridiplantae; Streptophyta; Magnoliopsida; Rosales; Rosaceae
Description: long non-coding RNA (PPER_LNC005727)
Source: RNAcentral